This 433-nucleotide ribosomal RNA is filed under the name uncultured bacterium. RNAcentral's name for it is "partial 16S ribosomal RNA". It matches the Rfam family "Bacterial small subunit ribosomal RNA", at positions 29 to 507 of the family's 1533-position model. The record is from RNAcentral.
AACGAACGCUGGCGGCAUGCCUAACACAUGCAAGUCGAACGGGACCUUCGGGUCUAGUGGCGCACGGGUGCGUAACGCGUGGGAACCUGCCCUUAGGUUCGGAAUCCCUCCCCGUAGGGGGUGCUAAUACCGGUUAAUGUCUUCGGACCAAAGAUUUCUCGCCAUUGGAUGGGCGCGCGUUGGAUUAGCUAGUUGGUAGGGUAAAAGCCUGCCAAGGCGACGUUGCAUAGCUGGUCGGGGAAGAGGAUCAACCACACUGGGACUGCGACACGGACCAGACUGGUACGGGAGGCAGCAGUGUAUAAUAUUGGACAAGGAGCGAUAGUGUAAUCCAGCAGUGCGGCGUGAGUGGGGAAUAGCUUAGUGUUGUAAAGCUCUUUGACACGAGACGAGAAUGACAGUACCGGGAGAAGAAGCACCGGCUAACUCCGUG